GUACCCUGAUGGAGCUCUGGCUGUGACUUGUGUUAAAAUUAUUAAAAUCACAUCACAGGCAGAGUUCUAGUUAGGUAA
This 78-nucleotide microRNA precursor is filed under the name Cyphomyrmex costatus. Its description in RNAcentral is "mir-11 microRNA precursor family". It matches the Rfam family "mir-11 microRNA precursor family". Lineage: Eukaryota; Metazoa; Arthropoda; Insecta; Hymenoptera; Formicidae. The record is from Rfam by way of RNAcentral.